Molecule: ribosomal RNA, 483 nt
Filed under: uncultured bacterium
Lineage: Bacteria
Description: bacterial SSU rRNA
Rfam family: Bacterial small subunit ribosomal RNA
Source: RNAcentral
GAUGAACGCUAGCGGCAGGCUUAAUACAUGCAAGUCGUGGGGCAGCAGGGGUAGCAAUACCCGCUGGCGACCGGCAAACGGGUGCGGAACACGUACGCAACCUUCCUUUAACUGGAGAAUAGCCCCUCGAAAGAGGGAUUAAUACUCCGUAACAUAUUGAUAAGGCAUCUUAUUAAUAUUAUAGCUCCGGCGGUUAAAGAUGGGCGUACGCCUGAUUAGGUAGUUGGUAGGGUAACGGCCUACCAAGCCAACGAUCAGUAACUGGUGUGAGAGCACGACCAGUCACACGGGCACUGAGACUACGGGCCCGACUCCUACGGGAGGCAGCAGUAAGGAAUAUUGGUCAAUGGACGCAAGUCUGAACCAGCCAUGCCGCGUGAAGGAUGAAGGUCCUCUGGAUUGUAAACUUCUUUUAUAUGGGACGAAACCCUCGGAUUCUUCCGAGACUGACGUACCAUAAGAAUAAGCACCGGCUAACUCCGU